This is a long non-coding RNA of Talpa occidentalis (Iberian mole), 1108 nucleotides long. RefSeq lists it as uncharacterized. The transcript has 5 exons. The record is from RefSeq and is a predicted model, not a curated record. Lineage: Eukaryota; Metazoa; Chordata; Mammalia; Eulipotyphla; Talpidae.
UCAUAAAGAAACUGAGACUGAGUCUAAGUAAACCGACUGAUGCCAUAUUCAUAUUCAAAUUGGGAUCUGUCUGACUUCAAAAUCUCUAUUCCUUUCACAGCAGCAAAACUAAGGAUAAGAAGAAAGAAAACCCAAGAUUUAUAUGGUCUACCUAUCCAUUGCAAUGGAAGCAUGUGGAUGUCCAGUUUCCUCUGCACCAUUUGUUGAAGAGACUUUCUUUUCUUCAUUUUAUACUUCACUGAUUUGUGUCCAUAUUAAGGGUGCAUCUGGAUGGCCAAGAGAAAAUUAAUCACUGCCAAGCAAGCACCAAGAAAAUGUACAAUGUUCACAGGAAAUUUUGUUAUUGGCUUCUAAAGAAGUGAUGAGGAAACUGAGUUAUGAUGGUAGCCAUUACAAGAAUCUCGAAAGUCUACAAAUUGCUUAAACCAGGUUCUUGGUUUCUGAGGACUCCAGUGCCAACUGAAAAAUCCUGAGACUACAUAGUCUCCAGCUUUAUUUUUCCUUUCCUGAUAAUUUGGAGUCAAUAUCCUAGACACUCCACAGAGGUUACUGUCCAUUGCUUAUGGGAGGCCAUGUCUCUGUGCAUAGUUAGACUACCCCAUGCUGUGGGAUGGAAAAUCAGUUGGGAUGGAGCAGUGGAAAUCCUGAUUCCAUUUUGGGAGAGGAGACUGAAGAAAUAACUUCUUUGGUGUGUGGGUCAGCAAAAAAAAAGCAAUGGCGACAUCAAAUGAUAUUGAGUUUGUGGUCAUACCUUUAUUAUCACUGCCUGUCCAAAGAAUGGAAUGUUUCCUUUUUCUUUCAGACUUUUAAAAAACUUUCGGGCCUCCCUGGUGGUGCAGCGGAUGAGCGCUGGGUUGCGAAGCUGCCCGUGGCCUCUGCAACGCAGGUUCAAUCCCCGGCCGCCGGGGGAGGGUCCCACAUGAUGAGCAGACCUCUCCUGCUGCCCGCUGGUCAGCAGUGUACUUCAUCAGUCUGCCUGCUCUGCUCUCCCCUCUGGCUCUGGUGAAUUCUCUCACCCUCCCGCGCUUCUGACUGUUCCCAGUGCUUGUAUAAAUAAAUCUUAAAAAAAAAAAAAAGCAAUUGUACAUUAAAAAAAAAAUAAAGAACU